RNAcentral lists this ribosomal RNA (2902 nucleotides) under Yersinia pestis 1045. RNAcentral's name for it is "bacterial LSU rRNA". It matches the Rfam family "Bacterial large subunit ribosomal RNA". Lineage: Bacteria; Pseudomonadati; Pseudomonadota; Gammaproteobacteria; Enterobacterales; Yersiniaceae. The record is from RNAcentral.
UAAGCGACUAAGCGUACACGGUGGAUGCCUAGGCAGUCAGAGGCGAUGAAGGGCGUGCUAAUCUGCGAAAAGCGUCGGUAAGCUGAUAUGAAGCGUUAUAACCGACGAUACCCGAAUGGGGAAACCCAGUGCAAUACGUUGCACUAUCGUUAGAUGAAUACAUAGUCUAACGAGGCGAACCGGGGGAACUGAAACAUCUAAGUACCCCGAGGAAAAGAAAUCAACCGAGAUUCCCCCAGUAGCGGCGAGCGAACGGGGAGGAGCCCAGAGUCUGAAUCAGUUUGUGUGUUAGUGGAAGCGUCUGGAAAGUCGCACGGUACAGGGUGAUAGUCCCGUACACCAAAAUGCACAGGCUGUGAACUCGAUGAGUAGGGCGGGACACGUGACAUCCUGUCUGAAUAUGGGGGGACCAUCCUCCAAGGCUAAAUACUCCUGACUGACCGAUAGUGAACCAGUACCGUGAGGGAAAGGCGAAAAGAACCCCGGCGAGGGGAGUGAAAUAGAACCUGAAACCGUGUACGUACAAGCAGUGGGAGCACCUUCGUGGUGUGACUGCGUACCUUUUGUAUAAUGGGUCAGCGACUUAUAUUUUGUAGCAAGGUUAACCGAAUAGGGGAGCCGUAGGGAAACCGAGUCUUAACUGGGCGUCUAGUUGCAAGGUAUAGACCCGAAACCCGGUGAUCUAGCCAUGGGCAGGUUGAAGGUUGGGUAACACUAACUGGAGGACCGAACCGACUAAUGUUGAAAAAUUAGCGGAUGACUUGUGGCUGGGGGUGAAAGGCCAAUCAAACCGGGAGAUAGCUGGUUCUCCCCGAAAGCUAUUUAGGUAGCGCCUCGUGAACUCAUCUUCGGGGGUAGAGCACUGUUUCGGCUAGGGGGCCAUCCCGGCUUACCAAACCGAUGCAAACUCCGAAUACCGAAGAAUGUUAUCACGGGAGACACACGGCGGGUGCUAACGUCCGUCGUGAAGAGGGAAACAACCCAGACCGCCAGCUAAGGUCCCAAAGUCAUGGUUAAGUGGGAAACGAUGUGGGAAGGCACAGACAGCCAGGAUGUUGGCUUAGAAGCAGCCAUCAUUUAAAGAAAGCGUAAUAGCUCACUGGUCGAGUCGGCCUGCGCGGAAGAUGUAACGGGGCUAAACCAUGCACCGAAGCUGCGGCAGCGACACUUAGGUGUUGUUGGGUAGGGGAGCGUUCUGUAAGCCGUUGAAGGUGACCUGUGAGGGUUGCUGGAGGUAUCAGAAGUGCGAAUGCUGACAUAAGUAACGAUAAUGCGGGUGAAAAACCCGCACGCCGGAAGACCAAGGGUUCCUGUCCAACGUUAAUCGGGGCAGGGUGAGUCGACCCCUAAGGCGAGGCUGAAAAGCGUAGUCGAUGGGAAACAGGUUAAUAUUCCUGUACUUGGUGUUACUGCGAAGGGGGGACGGAGAAGGCUAGGCUGGCCGGGCGACGGUUGUCCCGGUUUAAGCGUGUAGGGGGAGUGACCAGGUAAAUCCGGUUGCUUAUCAACCCUGAGGCGUGAUGACGAUGCACCACGGUGCAGAAGCAGUUGAUGCCAUGCUUCCAGGAAAAGCCUCUAAGCAUCAGGUAACAUUAAAUCGUACCCCAAACCGACACAGGUGGUCAGGUAGAGAAUACUCAGGCGCUUGAGAGAACUCGGGUGAAGGAACUAGGCAAAAUGGUGCCGUAACUUCGGGAGAAGGCACGCUGGCGUUAGGUGAAAGGACUAGCUCCUGGAGCUGAAGCCAGUCGCAGAUACCAGCUGGCUGCAACUGUUUAAUAAAACACAGCACUGUGCAAACACGAAAGUGGACGUAUACGGUGUGACGCCUGCCCGGUGCUGGAAGGUUAAUUGAUGGGGUCAGCCGCAAGGCGAAGCUCUUGAUCGAAGCCCCAGUAAACGGCGGCCGUAACUAUAACGGUCCUAAGGUAGCGAAAUUCCUUGUCGGGUAAGUUCCGACCUGCACGAAUGGCGUAAUGAUGGCCAGGCUGUCUCCACCCGAGACUCAGUGAAAUUGAACUCGCUGUGAAGAUGCAGUGUACCCGCGGCAAGACGGAAAGACCCCGUGAACCUUUACUAUAGCUUGACACUGAACAUUGAGCCUUGAUGUGUAGGAUAGGUGGGAGGCCUUGAAGUGUGGACGCCAGUCUGCAUGGAGCCAACCUUGAAAUACCACCCUUUAAUGUUUGAUGUUCUAACUCGGCCCCAUGAUCUGGGGUGAGGACAGUGUCUGGUGGGUAGUUUGACUGGGGCGGUCUCCUCCCAAAGAGUAACGGAGGAGCACGAAGGUUAGCUAAUCACGGUCGGACAUCGUGAGGUUAGUGCAAAGGCAUAAGCUAGCUUGACUGCGAGAGUGACGGCUCGAGCAGGUACGAAAGUAGGUCUUAGUGAUCCGGUGGUUCUGAAUGGAAGGGCCAUCGCUCAACGGAUAAAAGGUACUCCGGGGAUAACAGGCUGAUACCGCCCAAGAGUUCAUAUCGACGGCGGUGUUUGGCACCUCGAUGUCGGCUCAUCACAUCCUGGGGCUGAAGUAGGUCCCAAGGGUAUGGCUGUUCGCCAUUUAAAGUGGUACGCGAGCUGGGUUUAGAACGUCGUGAGACAGUUCGGUCCCUAUCUGCCGUGGGCGUUGGAAGAUUGAGAGGGGCUGCUCCUAGUACGAGAGGACCGGAGUGGACGAAUCACUGGUGUUCGGGUUGUCAUGCCAAUGGCAUUGCCCGGUAGCUAAAUUCGGAAGAGAUAACCGCUGAAAGCAUCUAAGCGGGAAACUUGCCUCGAGAUGAGUCUUCCCUGGGGCUUAAAGCCCCCUGAAGGAACGUUAAAGACUAUGACGUUGAUAGGCUGGGUGUGUAAGUGCAGCGAUGUAUUGAGCUAACCAGUACUAAUGAUCCGUGAGGCUUAACCU